This is a long non-coding RNA of Vitis vinifera (wine grape), 627 nucleotides long. RefSeq lists it as uncharacterized. The record is from RefSeq and is a predicted model, not a curated record. NCBI's taxonomy places the organism in Eukaryota, Viridiplantae, Streptophyta, Magnoliopsida, Vitales, Vitaceae. The transcript has 2 exons.
AUUUUUCUUUCCCGAUUUUGAUGUCAUUUUAUUCUUGGUUUGGUUUUCUUGGGUGUCAACUGUGACCAAAUUUUUUUGACAAAACCGAGACUGCCAGUCUCCCUCUCUUAUCUGACUGUCAGCUGCUUUUUUUCUCUGCAAGAACAGUUCCAAUUCAGGAAAGGGAAAGACAGGCAUUAUAUAGCUCACAUUCCACACAUGGAGAUAGGCCUAGUCCUGUUCUAAUGAAGGUGGUGGUACAUCAAUAUAUAACCAGAUUGCACUUACUGGGAGUUCCUGUAACAUAAGGUUCUGGUGACGCUUUAUUCUGCCUAAACAAGUGAACCACUUACCAAAGGCAGGGGGAUAGAAUUCCAACAUCUUUGAUCUGUAGUUGCCACUCAUUUCUUUCCUAAUUUUGAUGUCAUUUUGUUGUUUUUGUUCUUGUGUUUGUUAUGUCUUGAUUGGGGCAGGAGUAUGUGAAGAUGUUCCAUUGUUGUGGGGGUUAUGGUCCUAGAGUCAAUUAUUUGUAUCAACUAGAGUCAAUUGUUUAUUUGUAGAGAAAUAAUAUCCAAAGUUUUAAUGAAGGUUUACUCCAUGAGACUUGCAAGAAGAAUAUUGUGACUAAAUUGAUCAUACUUUGAGACU